CGGCGGACGGGUGAGUAACGCGUGGGCAACCUGCCUUCCACUGGGGGAUAACACAGAGAAACCUGUGCUAAUACCGCAUGACAUCACAUAGGGCAUCCUGUGUGAUCAAAGGAGUGAUCCGGUGGAAGAUGGGCCCGCGUCCGAUUAGCUAGUUGGUGAGGUAACGGCUCACCAAGGCGACGAUCGGUAGCCGGACUGAGAGGUUGGCCGGCCACAUUGGGACUGAGACACGGCCCAGACUCCUACGGGAGGCAGCAGUGGGGAAUAUUGCGCAAUGGGGGGAACCCUGACGCAGCGACGCCGCGUGAAGGAAGAAGGCCUUCGGGUUGUAAACUUCUUUGAUGAGGGACGAAGGAAGUGACGGUACCUCAAAAACAAGCCACGGCUAACUACGUGCCAGCAGCCGCGGUAAUACGUAGGUGGCGAGCGUUGUCCGGAAUUACUGGGUGUA
This 451-nucleotide ribosomal RNA is filed under the name uncultured bacterium. RNAcentral describes it as "bacterial SSU rRNA". It matches the Rfam family "Bacterial small subunit ribosomal RNA", at positions 96 to 562 of the family's 1533-position model. The record is from RNAcentral.